UCCUCGCGGCGGAAGAAUGAGGGGGCAUGAGGCUGAGCAAGGAAGGGAGUACGAAGUCCCAGACCCACUUUUCCUCUUCCACUCUGGAGCAGCAUCGGUGAGUUUGCUGUGGACAAGGGCACACAAGUUAUCAUCAAUCUGUGGGCGCUGCAUCACAAUGAGAAGGAGUGGCACCAGCCGGAUCAGUUCAUGCCUGAGCGUUUCUUGAAUCCAGCGGGGACCCAGCUCAUCUCA
This 234-nucleotide small RNA is filed under the name Pan troglodytes (chimpanzee). RNAcentral describes it as "retained intron". The record is from RNAcentral. Lineage: Eukaryota; Metazoa; Chordata; Mammalia; Primates; Hominidae.